RNAcentral lists this ribosomal RNA (407 nucleotides) under Verrucomicrobiota bacterium. Its description in RNAcentral is "Verrucomicrobia bacterium partial 16S ribosomal RNA". It matches the Rfam family "Bacterial small subunit ribosomal RNA", at positions 355 to 776 of the family's 1533-position model. Lineage: Bacteria; Pseudomonadati; Verrucomicrobiota. The record is from RNAcentral.
UGGGGAAUAUUGGACAAUGGAGGGAACUCUGAUCCAGCAAUUCUGUGUGUGUGAAGAAGGUUUUAGGACUGUAAAACACUUUUAGUAGGGAAGAAAAUAAUGACGGUACCUACAGAAGAAGCAACGGCUAAAUACGUGCCAGCAGCCGCGGUAAUACGUAUGUUGCGAGCGUUAUCCGGAAUUAUUGGGCUUAAAGGGCAUCUAGGCGGUAAGACAAGUUGAAGGUGAAAACCUGUGGCUCAACCAUAGGCUUGCCUACAAAACUGUUGAACUAGAGUACUGGAAAGGUGGGUGGAACUACACGAGUAGAGGUGAAAUUCGUAGAUAUGUGUAGGAAUGCCGAUGAUGAAGAUAACUCACUGGACAGAAACUGACGCUGAAGUGCGAAAGCUAGGGGAGCAAACAGG